RNAcentral lists this signal recognition particle RNA (92 nucleotides) under Sorangiineae bacterium NIC37A_2. Its description in RNAcentral is "Bacterial small signal recognition particle RNA". It matches the Rfam family "Bacterial small signal recognition particle RNA". From Rfam's summary of the family: The signal recognition particle (SRP) is a universally conserved ribonucleoprotein involved in the co-translational targeting of proteins to membranes. Lineage: Bacteria; Pseudomonadati; Myxococcota; Myxococcia; Myxococcales. The record is from Rfam by way of RNAcentral.
CGUGUGGGCCCCCAACAGCGCACUUCGAACCCCGCCAGGCCCGGAAGGGAGCAACGGUAAAAGAAAGCGGGUGUGGGGGCCCUUACCUUAUU